Molecule: non-coding RNA, 32 nt
Filed under: Homo sapiens (human)
Lineage: Eukaryota; Metazoa; Chordata; Mammalia; Primates; Hominidae
Source: RNAcentral
UCAUGGGAGAGGAAAAGACCCUCUGGUUGGCC